RNAcentral lists this long non-coding RNA (3376 nucleotides) under Mus musculus (house mouse). RNAcentral's name for it is "long non-coding RNA chr16:77416623-77419999". Lineage: Eukaryota; Metazoa; Chordata; Mammalia; Rodentia; Muridae. The record is from RNAcentral.
GACUUGGCUGUUGUAUUACGCUUUAAAUGGAAUUGAUUGUGUGGUUGUAAUGAAAGUAAUAGAUUGAUUUCUACCCAGGCUCACAAAGAGUAAAUAGAAAAGCAUUCCUGUCUUGACCUACAUUCAUAACCAGUGUGACUUGCUGGAUUUAGACCCAAAUCUUAGGAAAGACAACAUGCACAUGUAAUGAAGACGGUUUGAAGUUUAAAUUUUUAAAAUAGUUUUUAAUGAUUUCUCUGGUUACCAUUUUUGUAUCAAUUAGAUCAUAGUCACCCAAGAAGUAUUUCUUUGCUUAAAACCUUUGCAUAAUUUCUCAUGUAACUGGCAUUCCUAAACUAGAGUCUUUAUGAAUAUACUAAAAUAUUAGCAUGAAUUUUGAAACAGUAGUAUCUACCUUAGUAUCUGUAAGUUUGAAUGCUAUUUUAGUGAUUUAAGCCUAUGACAUUUUUAAACUUUGGAUUUAUUGACUAUUUUUAUGACUAAGAUAUUUUGUUGGUGAAGUACAACAUGAAAUACUAGGAAACACACAGCAUCACUGUGUUUUCACCAUCGUGUUCGUGGUUUUUAUGAAGAAGCAUUCCUGCUGGAUCUAGAAUCAUUGACUUCUUUACUGAAUAAUGAAAUAUUUGUUUGUAAUAACACGCGCAGUAUCUUUCUUUCAUCUUUUCUUGAUAAUUUAGAAGAUAAACACACACAAAUAUUACACACAUACCACACACACACACACACAUAUAUGUGUAUAUGUAUAUAUAUAUGCUAUCAGUUUGGACUUUGAAAGCCUGUGUCCUACAUACCCUUCUAUAAUAAAACUUCAGGAAACAAAACAAAGAGUUUAAUUUGAAAACAUGUUUUUGUUAUGAAUGGAGGAAUGGAAGAUUAAAAGAACUUACAAACAACAACAACAACAACAACAACAAAAACCCAACCCCAACAAUCCCUCUGUAAGGAGCAGUUGUUUCUCACACAUUCUGUGACUCCUUUGGAUUUGUUUUAUGUUUGGGUAAAACACUUUAGUGUAAUGAUGCCUAAAUGAGACAAAACAAAACAAAAUAAAAACAAAAUGCAACACAUAAAAGUUGGAAACGACAAAGAGAUAAAACCAAACCAAAAAAAAAAAAAAAAAAACAAACAAACAAACAAACCCCAAAAAACAAAAACCAAGGGACACAUUUGACUCCUGGUGUUUCUGAGUCGGAGCUUCAAGCUCUUUCUAUUCUUCCCAGCCCACUCGAUUACCCUGCAGGUUGUGGCAGACAAUUCCCAGGAAAAGCUUAGACACGGAGCCUGCUUGCUUCUUGACUCCAUUUUAAACCUUUUGUUCACACCAGGGUGGCAUUUUUUCACACCACAUGUGGCAAUUUUGACUCCUAGCCAACUUGUCUUACAAAAUCAAAGUCUGCAGGGUUUCCCCACCCCCACCCCCUCUGUUCACAAGGAGCUUACUGAACUCUGACUGCUGGAGAGUCUUCCCUAGCUAUUGGUGCAGAAGUUUAUGGAAAAAUGUUUUUCCAGAGAGAGAAAGGGAGAGAGGGGAAGAAGACAGGCAGAGUGAGAAAUGUCCUGCCUUGAAACACUGCAGAUGAAUUCUUAGAUAGAAUAGAUGUUAACUCUGCAAAUAUUACUUGUGAAAAAAAACACAGAGAGCUCUAUGCUUAUUAAUUUUUAGCAUUAUGCUUAAUGUUAAUUAUAAAAUCAGGAUAAUUAAAGAAAACACUAAGGAGAUGUAAAUUCCAAUAUGAUCAUGUCAUUUUAAAAAGCUGCCAUGUAAUAAUAAAAUGAAAAUAUCUGCGGGUACAUAUUGUCUUUACCCUGCAUUUUACAAUACUCACUAGGAGCGAAUGGAUGUUCCUUUUGUAUAUGAUACUGAACAUGCUGUGUUUGAUACUAUCUCUAGCCAGGAGUAAAAGAAAAGGUUCUUCUAGAACUGUAUGCUGUGAACCCCAUCAAUGAAAUAACUGCUCCUACUUCAUCUUUUUAAAGAGAAUUUUCUUUCAUUCUUACUUGUUUCCUUUAAAGGGUGCCUCACUCAUUCACAUUUUGUAAUGGCAAAUUGCAAAACUAUAGCUGAGAAAUGAUAUAAAACGCACUCACCAGCAAGUAAUGGAAGAAACAGUAUUUUACCAAAUUCAAAGGUUUGUGCAGAGGCUGUUCCUCUAUUUCUAGGAGGGACAUGAAGGAACACAAAUCUCUGAGUAUAUGUGAUGUUAUAGAUAACAAGGCAGAUGCAACUGUAUGUAGGUUUCCCCUGGGUAAGCUUACCCUGUUUUCUUUUUAUUUAUUUAUACUAAUAAGAACAUUUAAAGAUAGACAUUAAAAACAUUUCUUCAACAUACAUAUUAAUUCAUUAUCUGUGUAAGAAUGUCAGUAGAAGGUGGUUGUUUUAGUCAACCCAUGGGUGGUAAUUGUAUGACUGCUUAGUUUUUCUGCAGUAGCACAGUAAUCAUAUGUUUUAAUCGUAAGUGACAAAUCACAAGGCAAAAGGGAAAUCAGAUAUUGGAAGCCAUAGUAAACAUCUGUAAAGUAUCAAAUAUCAAGACCAAAGAGACUUAUUGCUUAUUGAUAUGGCAUGAAAAUAUACUAAAGUUUUUUGCUAAAACGUCGGCACAGAGGAACAAAGCCUUUGUAGUCAAUGUGAGCUGCAUGUUUUAUUUAUCAAAAUAACAACACUAUUGUGCAGUAAGGAAAGAAAUAUAGAACAGCUACAUGUGAGGGCAUGUAUGCCUUUGCUCCCUUCACUCAGACAACAUGUAAGUAAACUCACUGCAUUUGAAUUAUUCACUGCAGGGUUUACAAUAAGAAAUUUAUCUGGUAAAUUGAAAAGACCUCAAUUAAGAAGCAUGCACAAACUCACACUCAUACACAGUCAUAUACACACAUGCAUGCUAUGGGUAACUGUAAAACAAGAGAUAGUCCAUCAGAGCUUAAGAGAGAGAGGGCAGCCUGGUUUCCAGCAGAAGAUGACUAGCAGGCAGAACCUCGUAGCUUUCCCUUAACACAGGGCAGUUACUUCGGUUAACUUAGAAAAAGAAUGGAAAAUACAAAGCAUGUGAUUUCCAGGAAUAGAUAAACCCAGACUCACUGCUUAAAAAUUAAUUGCAGAUGGGUUUAUAUUCCGAGUUUUUUUUUUAUGGUGCCUGAAUAUUUAUAAAGUACAUGGUUUGCUUUUCAGUUAAUUUAAAAACUGACCUUUGUACAAAUAGAAAGGAAAGCAUUUUUUUUUUUUGCAUCUAGAAAUAAAAUGUACAGAGGUCAAAUGAAACUAUUUUCAUUUAAGCUAGAACAAAGAAGCUAAAGGAAACAAAAUAUCUGGUCAAACAUGUACCUGUGUUCAACCCUCACAGAAUGCUAACCAGAAUCUAAACAAACAAAACAAAAC